AUAUAGGUCUUUCUCAAGUGCAUCUCUGGAGAAAUAAUAGGAGAUGCACUUGAGAAAGACCUAUAU
Pelobates cultripes (western spadefoot toad) is the source of this 66-nucleotide non-coding RNA. The record is from the annotation of a GenBank genome assembly. Lineage: Eukaryota; Metazoa; Chordata; Amphibia; Anura; Pelobatidae.